CAGAUGCUAAUACCGCAUAACAACGUUGUUCGCAUGAACAACGUUUCAAAGAUGGCCUCUGGCUAUCACUUCUGGAUGGACCUGCGGUGCAUUAGCUUGUUGGUGGGGUAAUGGCCUACCAAGGCGAUGAUGCAUAGCCGAGUUGAGAGACUGAUCGGCCACAAUGGGACUGAGACACGGCCCAUACUCCUACGGGAGGCAGCAGUAGGGAAUCUUCCACAAUGGGCGCAAGCCUGAUGGAGCAACACCGCGUGAGUGAAGAAGGGUUUCGGCUCGUAAAGCUCUGUUGUUAAAGAAGAACAUGCGUGAGAGUAACUGUUCACGCAUUGACGGUAUUUAACCAGAAAGUCACGGCUAACUACGUGCCAGCAGCCGCGGUAAUACGUAGGUGGCAAGCGUUAUCCGGAUUUAUUGGGCGUAAAGAGAGUGCAGGCGGUUUACUAAGUCUGAUGUGAAAGCCUUCGGCUUAACCGGAGAAGGGCAUCGGAAACUGGCUAACUUGAGUGCAGAAGAGGGUAGUGGAACUCCAUGUGUAGCGGUGGAAUGCGUAGAUAUAUGGAAGAACACCAGUGGCGAAGGCGGCUACCUGGUCUGUAACUGACGCUGAGACUCGAAAGCAUGGGUAGCGAACAGGAUUAGAUACCCUGGUAGUCCAUGCCGUAAACGAUGAGUGCUAGGUGUUGGAGGGUUUCCGCCCUUCAGUGCCGGAGCUAACGCAUUAAGCACUCCGCCUGGGGAGUACGACCGCAAGGUUGAAACUCAAAGGAAUUGACGGGGGCCCGCACAAGCGGUGGAGCAUGUGGUUUAAUUCGAAGCUACGCGAAGAACCUUACCAGGUCUUGACAUCUUGCGCCAACCCUAGAGAUAGGGCGUUUCCUUCGGGAACGCAAUGACAGGUGGUGCAUGGUCGUCGUCAGCUCGUGUCGUGAGAUGUUGGGUUAAGUCCCGCAACGAGCGCAACCCUUGUUACUAGUUGCCAGCAUUCAGUUGGGCACUCUAGUGAGACUGCCGGUGACAAACCGGAGGAAGGUGGGGACGACGUCAGAUCAUCAUGCCCCUUAUGACCUGGGCUACACACGUGCUACAAUGGACGGUACAACGAGUCGCGAACUCGCGAGGGCGAGCAAAUCUCUGAAAACCGUUCUCAGUUCGGACUGCAGGCUGCAACUCGCCUGCACGAAGUCGGAAUCGCUAGUAAUCGCGGAUCAGCAUGCCGCGGUGAAUACGUUCCCGGGCCUUGUACUCACCGCCCGUCA
Molecule: ribosomal RNA, 1256 nt
Filed under: uncultured bacterium
Lineage: Bacteria
Description: bacterial SSU rRNA
Rfam family: Bacterial small subunit ribosomal RNA
Source: RNAcentral